This 497-nucleotide ribosomal RNA is filed under the name uncultured bacterium. RNAcentral describes it as "partial 16S ribosomal RNA". It matches the Rfam family "Bacterial small subunit ribosomal RNA", at positions 28 to 507 of the family's 1533-position model. The record is from RNAcentral.
GAUGAACGCUGGCGGCGUGCCUAAUACAUGCAAGUCGAGCGAACGGACGAGAAGCUUGCUUCUCUGAUGUUAGCGGCGGACGGGUGAGUAACACGUGGAUAACCUACCUAUAAUACUGGGAUAACUUCGGGAAACCGUAGCUAAUACCGGAUAAUAUUUUGAACCGCAUGGUUCAAAAGUGAAAGGCGGUCUUGCUGUCACUUAUAGAUGGAUCCGCGCUGCAUUAGCUAGUUGGUAAGGUAACGGCUUACCAAGGCAACGAUGCAUAGCCGACCUGAGAGGGUGAUCGGCCACACUGGAACUGAGACACGGUCCAGACUCCUACGGGAGGCAGCAGUAGGGAAUCUUCCGCAAUGGGCGAAAGCCUGACGGAGCAACGCCGCGUGAGUGAUGAAGGUCUUCGGAUCGUAAAACUCUGUUAUUAGGGAAGAACAUAUGUGUAAGUAACUGUGCACAUCUUGACGGUACCUAAUCAGAAAGCCACGGCUAACUUCGUG